This 620-nucleotide ribosomal RNA is filed under the name uncultured bacterium. RNAcentral's name for it is "bacterial SSU rRNA". It matches the Rfam family "Bacterial small subunit ribosomal RNA", at positions 124 to 775 of the family's 1533-position model. The record is from RNAcentral.
AUCUACCUUUCGGUUGGGGAUAACUUCUGGAAACGGGAGCUAAUACCCAAUAUGCUGUGGAGUGAAAGAAUUUCGCCGAGAGACGACCUUGCGUCUGAUUAGCUUGUUGGGGUGGUAAUGGCACACCAAGGCGACGAUCAGUAGCUGGUCUGAGAGGAUGGACAGCCACAUUGGGACUGAGACACGGCCCAGACUCCUACGGGAGGCAGCAGUGGGGAAUUUUCCGCAAUGGACGAAAGUCUGACGGAGCGACGCUGCGUGAAGGAUGAAGGCCCGUGGGUUGUAAACUUCUUUUCUCGAAGAAGAAAAAAAUGACGGUAUUCGAGGAAUAAGCAUCGGCUAACUCUGUGCCAGCAGCCGCGGUAAGACAGAGGAUGCAAGUGUUAUUCGGAAUGAUUGGGCGUAAAGAGUCUGUAGGCGGUUUAGAAAGUCUUUUGUGAAAUACUUCAGCUCAACUGAGGCUCCGCAAAAGAAACUUCUAGACUUGAGGAAAGUAGAGGUACAGGGAAUUUCCGGUGGAGCGGUGAAAUGCGUAGAUAUCGGAAGGAACACCAAUAUGGCGAAGGCACUGUACUGGGCUUUUCCUGACGCUCAGAGACGAAAGCUGAAGGAGUGAUUAG